RNAcentral lists this non-coding RNA (44 nucleotides) under Schistosoma mansoni. The record is from RNAcentral. Lineage: Eukaryota; Metazoa; Platyhelminthes; Trematoda; Strigeidida; Schistosomatidae.
AUCCAGCUGAUGAGUCCCAAAUAGGACGAAACGCCGUCCUGGAU